UGGGGAAUUUUGGACAAUGGGGGAAACCCUGAUCCAGCCAUCCCGCGUGUGCGAUGAAGGCCUUCGGGUUGUAAAGCACUUUUGGCAGGAAAGAAACGUCAUGGGUUAAUACCCCGUGAAACUGACGGUACCUGCAGAAUAAGCACCGGCUAACUACGUGCCAGCAGCCGCGGUAAUACGUAGGGUGCAAGCGUUAAUCGGAAUUACUGGGCGUAAAGCGUGCGCAGGCGGUUCGGAAAGAAAGAUGUGAAAUCCCAGAGCUCAACUUUGGAACUGCAUUUUUAACUACCGGGCUGGAGUGUGUCAGAGGGAGGUGGAAUUCCGCUGGUAGCAGUAAAAGGCGUAGUUAUGCGGAGGAACACCGAUGGCGAAGGCAGCCUCCUGGGAUAACACUGACGCUCAUGCACGAAAGCGUGGGGAGCAAACAGG
RNAcentral lists this ribosomal RNA (429 nucleotides) under Acidobacteriota bacterium. Its description in RNAcentral is "Acidobacteria bacterium partial 16S ribosomal RNA". It matches the Rfam family "Bacterial small subunit ribosomal RNA", at positions 355 to 776 of the family's 1533-position model. Lineage: Bacteria; Pseudomonadati; Acidobacteriota. The record is from RNAcentral.